AAGCAAUCGACUUACAAAAGGGUGGAUGAAUACGUGCUGGUUCUGUUAGGUUUUGAAAAAUGAUUACUCGACGUUGGAUCGAGGUUUUGAUCUUGUUAUGAAAUGGUUAUCGAAUGUUCAUUUUAAUUCUUGUAUUAACAGAUGAAUAAAGAAUGAAAGAAUAAAUAUUAUACAUUUCAUGGGAGAGGGAUACAUUUGUUGUGAAUGGGGGUUGUCAUGGCAAUCAAG
This 228-nucleotide long non-coding RNA is filed under the name Lathyrus oleraceus (garden pea). RNAcentral describes it as "Pisum sativum (pea) long non-coding RNA (PSAT_LNC001486)". The record is from RNAcentral. Lineage: Eukaryota; Viridiplantae; Streptophyta; Magnoliopsida; Fabales; Fabaceae.